CAUGAGGGUUGUGAUGAACUUCUGCAUCCUGGCUUGUCCUUCCCUCACCAUUUCUGCUGACAAUCUUUUCCCGGACGUUGACUUUUUAAUAAUAGUCUAUACGAUCUGGAGAACACAGAUUUAAUCUUUGCACUACACUGAGAGGCUAAGAAACAUCUACAUGGCUCUGAAGCUGAAGCCGCAACUGUGCAAGCAGAUACAGACAGGCAACGCUCUAUGUGGUUAAAGAAAAGCACAUGCCAGAGACUCAGGAGCAGCUGGCCCCAAAUUUUGGCCUCAGCACACCAUGUAAAAUUGAACAUAUGUGUGGACUGGGUUUGACUCCCUUCAGAUGCUUCUGAAACACAAUAAUAUCUCACUGGAACUUGAAAAUACUCAUUCUUCAAUCAACCUGAUAAAGUCUUGCCAUCAUAUGGACCUGUCUAGUAAGAACAGAGAGGGCAUCUCACCAAGAAGAGGACACCAACAGAGCACCAUGAAUAAGGAGCUGAAUAAUAAUUUGCUGAUAAUGAAUAAUCAGAAAAAUAAUGCUAAUGUCUCUGCUGCUAACUUUGCUGACUUAGCAAUGACAGUCUUAUCUCUUAAAAAUUCCCAGAGUUAGUAAGCCUGAAGAAAACUAGAAUCAAAAUUCAGAGUUCUAAAAUAACUUUGUUUUGAGGUGGAUAUUUCAAUUUAGCAGACUGCAGGUAUGAUUAUAAAUGGAUUACUCCCAUUUUACUAGUAUUAUGGAAUAAGAACUCCUCAUUUGGACAUUGCCUUAAACAGGCUUUAAAUUCCCUCAUAGUUUAAUAAUUAACCUGAAGUACAAAAGAAAACUCAGAAUUGAAAAUGGGAAAAAAUGCAACAUAGAAGAAACAAGGUUUAUUUCAGUUAGAUUCUGCUUCUAAGAAAUAUAAAUAAAGCUUUGUACCAACAAAAUUAUUUUUUAUUGAAACAUUCUAGUCUGUAUUACUUACAAUCACUUAAAUACUUACAGUGAAAGUGCAAUGAUGUUUCAUAGCAAAAUACUCAAAAUACACAACUUCUAAUAUUGCUACCUGGACAAUGUUGAUUCAGUCCUGCUACAUGCAUAUAAAAAUAAAAAUUACUGACUUGCAAAAGUGUUUCACUGGGGAUAUUCUUAGCAAGCAUCUACUUAUUCCAUUUUAUCUGUUCAGUUCAAGAUGUGAAAGCAUGUCACAUUGUGGUACACAGAAAGAAAUAAUGUUGGUUGUCCCAAAUUUUACAACAACAUUAAUUUUUAUAGUGCUUCCAUCAGCUACAAACUACAAGAAUAUCUACACAUAUUUAGGGGAAAUUGCCAUCCACAUUCUUACUCUGAAUGAACAGAAAUGCAGACAUAGCUAGAACUGACAUACCAAUUUCACAUACAUAGGAAUGAUUUUUUUAAAAUAGAUUACAGCAAGUAUUUUAUAGCUUUUAAAAUCACAGUUCCCUAUUCCCUUUAGCUGCAAUUGAGUGUUGAGUAGUUCUGCAUCUUGGUCC
This is a long non-coding RNA of Cyanistes caeruleus (blue tit), 1485 nucleotides long. RefSeq lists it as uncharacterized. Lineage: Eukaryota; Metazoa; Chordata; Aves; Passeriformes; Paridae. The record is from RefSeq and is a predicted model, not a curated record.